This 2663-nucleotide ribosomal RNA is filed under the name Klebsiella pneumoniae. RNAcentral's name for it is "bacterial LSU rRNA". It matches the Rfam family "Bacterial large subunit ribosomal RNA". Lineage: Bacteria; Pseudomonadati; Pseudomonadota; Gammaproteobacteria; Enterobacterales; Enterobacteriaceae. The record is from RNAcentral.
CAGUAGCGGCGAGCGAACGGGGAGCAGCCCAGAGUCUGGAUCAGCUUGUGUGUUAGUGGAACGGUCUGGAAAGUCCGACGGUACAGGGUGAUAGUCCCGUACACCAAAAUGCACAGGUUGUGAACUCGAAGAGUAGGGCGGGACACGUGGUAUCCUGUCUGAAUAUGGGGGGACCAUCCUCCAAGGCUAAAUACUCCUGACUGACCGAUAGUGAACCAGUACCGUGAGGGAAAGGCGAAAAGAACCCCGGCGAGGGGAGUGAAAAAGAACCUGAAACCGUGUACGUACAAGCAGUGGGAGCACCUUCGGGUGUGACUGCGUACCUUUUGUAUAAUGGGUCAGCGACUUAUAUUCUGUAGCAAGGUUAACCGUAUAGGGGAGCCGCAGGGAAACCGAGUCUUAACUGGGCGUUAAGUUGCAGGGUAUAGACCCGAAACCCGGUGAUCUAGCCAUGGGCAGGUUGAAGGUUGGGUAACACUAACUGGAGGACCGAACCGACUAAUGUUGAAAAAUUAGCGGAUGACUUGUGGCUGGGGGUGAAAGGCCAAUCAAACCGGGAGAUAGCUGGUUCUCCCCGAAAGCUAUUUAGGUAGCGCCUCGUGAAUUCAUCUUCGGGGGUAGAGCACUGUUUCGGCUAGGGGGUCAUCCCGACUUACCAACCCGAUGCAAACUACGAAUACCGAAGAAUGUUAUCACGGGAGACACACGGCGGGUGCUAACGUCCGUCGUGAAGAGGGAAACAACCCAGACCGCCAGCUAAGGUCCCAAAGUCAUGGUUAAGUGGGAAACGAUGUGGGAAGGCACAGACAGCCAGGAUGUUGGCUUAGAAGCAGCCAUCAUUUAAAGAAAGCGUAAUAGCUCACUGGUCGAGUCGGCCUGCGCGGAAGAUGUAACGGGGCUAAACCAUGCACCGAAGCUGCGGCAGCGACACUAUGUGUUGUUGGGUAGGGGAGCGUUCUGUAAGCCUGCGAAGGUGACCUGUGAGGGUUGCUGGAGGUAUCAGAAGUGCGAAUGCUGACAUAAGUAACGAUAAAGCGGGUGAAAAGCCCGCUCGCCGGAAGACCAAGGGUUCCUGUCCAACGUUAAUCGGGGCAGGGUGAGUCGACCCCUAAGGCGAGGCCGAAAGGCGUAGUCGAUGGGAAACAGGUUAAUAUUCCUGUACUUGGUGUUACUGCGAAGGGGGGACGGAGAAGGCUAUGUUAGCCGGGCGACGGUUGUCCCGGUUUAAGCAUGUAGGCUGGUUAUCCAGGCAAAUCCGGAUAAUCAAGGCUGAGGUGUGAUGACGAGGCACUACGGUGCUGAAGUAACAAAUGCCCUGCUUCCAGGAAAAGCCUCUAAGCAUCAGGUAACAUUAAAUCGUACCCCAAACCGACACAGGUGGUCAGGUAGAGAAUACCAAGGCGCUUGAGAGAACUCGGGUGAAGGAACUAGGCAAAAUGGUGCCGUAACUUCGGGAGAAGGCACGCUGGUGUGUAGGUGAAGUCCCUGCGGAUGGAGCUGAGACCAGUCGAAGAUACCAGCUGGCUGCAACUGUUUAUUAAAAACACAGCACUGUGCAAACACGAAAGUGGACGUAUACGGUGUGACGCCUGCCCGGUGCCGGAAGGUUAAUUGAUGGGGUUAUCCGUAAGGAGAAGCUCUUGAUCGAAGCCCCGGUAAACGGCGGCCGUAACUAUAACGGUCCUAAGGUAGCGAAAUUCCUUGUCGGGUAAGUUCCGACCUGCACGAAUGGCGUAAUGAUGGCCAGGCUGUCUCCACCCGAGACUCAGUGAAAUUGAACUCGCUGUGAAGAUGCAGUGUGCCCGCGGCAAGACGGAAAGACCCCGUGAACCUUUACUAUAGCUUGACACUGAACAUUGAGCCUUGAUGUGUAGGAUAGGUGGGAGGCUUUGAAGCGUGGACGCCAGUCUGCGUGGAGCCAACCUUGAAAUACCACCCUUUAAUGUUUGAUGUUCUAACGUUGGCCCCUUACCGGGGUUGCGGACAGUGUCUGGUGGGUAGUUUGACUGGGGCGGUCUCCUCCCAAAGCGUAACGGAGGAGCACGAAGGUUAGCUAAUCCUGGUCGGACAUCAGGAGGUUAGUGCAAUGGCAUAAGCUAGCUUGACUGCGAGCGUGACGGCGCGAGCAGGUGCGAAAGCAGGUCAUAGUGAUCCGGUGGUUCUGAAUGGAAGGGCCAUCGCUCAACGGAUAAAAGGUACUCCGGGGAUAACAGGCUGAUACCGCCCAAGAGUUCAUAUCGACGGCGGUGUUUGGCACCUCGAUGUCGGCUCAUCACAUCCUGGGGCUGAAGUAGGUCCCAAGGGUAUGGCUGUUCGCCAUUUAAAGUGGUACGCGAGCUGGGUUUAGAACGUCGUGAGACAGUUCGGUCCCUAUCUGCCGUGGGCGCUGGAGAAUUGAGGGGGGCUGCUCCUAGUACGAGAGGACCGGAGUGGACGCAUCACUGGUGUUCGGGUUGUCAUGCCAAUGGCACUGCCCGGUAGCUAAAUGCGGAAGAGAUAAGUGCUGAAAGCAUCUAAGCACGAAACUUGCCCCGAGAUGAGUUCUCCCUGAGACUUUAAGUCUCCUGAAGGAACGUUGAAGACGACGACGUUGAUAGGCCGGGUGUGUAAGCGCAGCGAUGCGUUGAGCUAACCGGUACUAAUGAACCGUGAGGCUUAACCUU